GUUUGAGGAGUGGAGCUCCUUGAAGUCCAAUAGAGGAUCUGACUGGGUUGAUUGAGCUGCUAGCCUAUGGAUCCCUCAGCCCUAUCCAUUAUAAUCCCAUGUUUGGAUAGGAUUGGGGUUUGCAUAUGCCAGGAGCUGCAUUACCCACUGUUUAAAUUCUUGUUUGGAUUGAAGGGAGCUCUGCACCAAUAAUCU
This 195-nucleotide microRNA precursor is filed under the name Ipomoea nil (Japanese morning glory). Its description in RNAcentral is "MIR159 microRNA precursor family". It matches the Rfam family "MIR159 microRNA precursor family". Lineage: Eukaryota; Viridiplantae; Streptophyta; Magnoliopsida; Solanales; Convolvulaceae. The record is from Rfam by way of RNAcentral.